RNAcentral lists this ribosomal RNA (405 nucleotides) under uncultured bacterium. RNAcentral's name for it is "bacterial SSU rRNA". It matches the Rfam family "Bacterial small subunit ribosomal RNA", at positions 356 to 773 of the family's 1533-position model. The record is from RNAcentral.
GGGGAAUAUUGCACAAUGGGCGCAAGCCUGAUGCAGCGACGCCGCGUGGGGGAUGACGGCCUUCGGGUUGUAAACCUCUUUCAGUAGGGACGAAGCGCAAGUGACGGUACCUAUAGAAGAAGCACCGGCCAACUACGUGCCAGCAGCCGCGGUAAUACGUAGGGUGCGAGCGUUGUCCGGAAUUACUGGGCGUAAAGAGCUCGUAGGUGGUUUGUCGCGUUGUUCGUGAAAACUCACAGCUUAACUGUGGGCGUGCGGGCGAUACGGGCAGACUGGAGUACUGCAGGGGAGACUGGAAUUCCUGGUGUAGCGGUGGAAUGCGCAGAUAUCAGGAGGAACACCGGUGGCGAAGGCGGGUCUCUGGGCAGUAACUGACGCUGAGGAGCGAAAGCGUGGGGAGCGAAC